This 783-nucleotide long non-coding RNA is filed under the name Oryza sativa tropical japonica subgroup. RNAcentral describes it as "lncRNA OsKeNa_05g0002250". Lineage: Eukaryota; Viridiplantae; Streptophyta; Magnoliopsida; Poales; Poaceae. The record is from RNAcentral.
GCGGCCUACGAAACCUCUCAUGAAUCUGAUGCCCUAGUGCAAGUGUGCAAACUGAAGCCAACCCACACACCACACACACAUAUAUAUACAGAGUUCCUUCCAUUUUUCUUUUGAAAGCUGCAGGGUGCUCUUCUUCUUCUCUAGGUUGAUCUUAUAUCAUCUGAGAGCUCCAAACUAAAGCCUGCAGCCAUGGAUCUGAUGGAGAAGUCCAGACGAGCAAAUUUCUUGUUCGACGACAACGACGGAGAUGAGGAUCAAAACGACAAACAAAAUAAGGGAGAGGCUAAUAAGGACAAGAAGGGAUCAACUCCAAACAAAGAGAAGUACACAAGUCGUGGACUACCAAACGGCACUAGUAAGGAUCGCUCCUCCGGGUUGCUGGCAAGCUUGCUGUGUUGUUGUCGACCGCGGCGGAAUUAACUAAGUCCUAGUACAAAAUGAGACACACAUCCUAGUUCUACGAUUCGGGAUUUGAGGUAUAUAUGCUCAGACUGUAUUAUAUACUAAGUUGUUAUGUUUUAGGAUGUCGGAUUUUGAACCAGCUGUGAUUUGAUCUUAUAUGUACUAGUGGCACCGCCGGUUACCGGUGAUUACCAAUUACGCUCAUGUGUGUUAAGUUAACCAUGCAUACAUGAAUGUAGAGACUGGGAUGAAUAUGUUGAUUAUUAUCUUAAAAGAAAUUAGAUAGUACUACAUGUGAUUGUGUGUAUGUGUGUUUAAUUAGAUAUUAAUGUUAUGCAAGAAUAUUGUACUAUCGCCAUAUAUAUAAUCGAUCUUUCUCCU